This 600-nucleotide ribosomal RNA is filed under the name uncultured bacterium. RNAcentral's name for it is "bacterial SSU rRNA". It matches the Rfam family "Bacterial small subunit ribosomal RNA", at positions 728 to 1332 of the family's 1533-position model. The record is from RNAcentral.
CCUGGGAUAACACUGACGCUCAUGUACGAAAGCGUGGGUAGCAAACAGGAUUAGAUACCCUGGUAGUCCACGCCCUAAACGAUGUCAACUGGUUGUUGGGGGAGUGAAAUCCCUUAGUAACGAAGCUAACGCGCGAAGUUGACCGCCUGGGGAGUACGGUCGCAAGAUUAAAACUCAAAGGAAUUGACGGGGACCCGCACAAGCGGUGGAUGAUGUGGAUUAAUUCGAUGCAGCGCGAAAAACCUUACCUACCCUUGACAUGUCCGGAAUCCUGAAGAGAUUUGGGAGUGCUCGAAAGAGAACCGGAACACAGGUGCUGCAUGGCUGUCGUCAGCUCGUGUCGUGAGAUGUUGGGUUAAGUCCCGCAACGAGCGCAACCCUUAUCAUUAGUUGCUACGCAAGGGCACUCUAAUGAGACUGCCGGUGACAAACCGGAGGAAGGUGGGGAUGACGUCAAGUCCUCAUGGCCCUUAUGGGUAGGGCUUCACACACGCUACAAUGGGCAGCACAAUGGGUAGCAAAGCCGCGAGGUAGAGCCAAUCCCGAAAGCUGGUCUCAGUUCAGAUUGCAGGCUGCAACCCGCCUGCAUGAAGUCGGAGU